Non-coding RNA from Triticum aestivum (bread wheat), 69 nucleotides. The record is from Rfam. Lineage: Eukaryota; Viridiplantae; Streptophyta; Magnoliopsida; Poales; Poaceae.
CCACUUCUCAGUUGGUAAAGCACAAGGCUCUUAACCUUGUGGACAUGGAUUCAAGUUCCAUGAUGGGGG